Molecule: ribosomal RNA, 187 nt
Filed under: uncultured bacterium
Lineage: Bacteria
Description: partial 16S ribosomal RNA
Rfam family: Bacterial small subunit ribosomal RNA
Source: RNAcentral
GACUACAUGAAGCUGGAAUCGCUAGUAAUCGCGAAUCAGAAUGUCGCGGUGAAUACGUUCCCGGGUCUUGUACACACCGCCCGUCACACCAUGGGAGUCGGAAAUGCCCAAAGUCAGUGACCUAACCGAAAGGGAGGAGCUGCCGAAGGUGGAGCCGGUAACUGGGGUGAAGUCGUAACAAGGUACC